AUAACUCUGCAAAAAUUUGAGGCAGCUCAACCUGGAAAAAUCACUGUCUCAUUAAGCUUUAUACUUGAAUUUUGAGAUUUUGAUUUACUGAAGCCACUCUCUGAUUCUUGUGGGGUUUAAAAUGGACUGAGAUCUUGGUUUCAAAAGUUUGGCUUUGAAUAUUUUCUUUGGUGGUGCAUCUGGUGUUUCAAGCUUGAAAUUGGGUCUGGGAUCUGAAGCUUGUUCUGCAGAUUUAUGUAUCGUUACCUUGUUGUUGUUCUGCUAUUGUUGCUUCCCUAAUCUCAAGCGUUGUUUUUUUUUUUGGUUUAUUUUUCCAUAUUCAGGUACAUAUUUAUG
This 336-nucleotide long non-coding RNA is filed under the name Nicotiana benthamiana. Its description in RNAcentral is "long non-coding RNA (NBEN_LNC017767)". Lineage: Eukaryota; Viridiplantae; Streptophyta; Magnoliopsida; Solanales; Solanaceae. The record is from RNAcentral.